This is a long non-coding RNA of Equus caballus (horse), 1639 nucleotides long. NCBI's taxonomy places the organism in Eukaryota, Metazoa, Chordata, Mammalia, Perissodactyla, Equidae. The record is from Ensembl.
AGAAAUUUUCAUGAGAUAAAUAUACAUACCAGACUUAAUUCAUUCAACAAAUAUUUACUGAGUACCUGCAAGGUACCAAAAACUAUUCUAGGUGCUAGAAUUCUAGGUUGCUAGGAACCAAGCAAAGUCCAAAACAAAGUUACUGGCCCUAAUGAAGCAUAAUAUUGUAGAAGGAGCAACUGACAAGUUAAGGAAGUAAAAAAUAAAUAAAUAAAUAUCUUGUAUGCUAUACAGGACAAGCGCUAAGAAGGAAAGCAUGGCAGAGAAGAGAGACAGGAACUGUGCAUGUUGGUAGAGGAAAAGCCAGAACCUAGAUGGAUUCUGAAAGGAACACAGAUGAGUCAAAUAGAUGAAAGGUGCAUAGCUGGUUUUCCUCUACUGGAAUUGGUGCUUCGAUAUGGCUUAAUAGUCAGAAAUAAAGAUCAUAAUUUCAGAACAGCAACAAAGGUCUUCAAUUCAACUUAAGUCUGUGUUCCACGUUAUUCCCUCCUUUUACACAGAGCUGCCGGAAUGUACUCGAGGAAUGCCCACUCACAGUAAGCUCAGCUUAAGCAAAGUAUAAUUAAGGAAUCAAAUCUGGAAGAAUAACAGCUAAUAUCUAUUGAACGCUUACUCUGUGCCAAUCACUGUUCCAAGGGCUAGGUAUAUGUAUAUUUAAUUUAUAUAAAUAAAACUGAUUUUUAUCUGCACAGCAAUUUUACGAAGUAAGUACUAUUAUUCACAAUUUAUGAACAUAAUGAAUGAACAAAGUGGAAAGUUAAACUACUUGUUUGAGGUCACUCAGUUAGCAAGUGGCUGUACCUAGAACACAAACCCCUGGUAUCUGACAUCUCGAGGCAAGCUUUGAACCACUGUAGCAUGUCAUUCUGCUUCCACUGCCAGAACAAAGGAAAUCCAUAUAUAAUGAAUCUCACAGUAAAAUAAGGAUGACUCAGAAUCAUACAAUGUUAGGACUUGAAAUGACUUCAGAAAUCUUGUCACAUACCCUGAUCUUAAAGACCCAGAACAAACGGCCCAAAGCCAGAUGUCAAGCAUUCUGAUUCGCAAGCUAGACUUUUUCCCACACGGUGUGCUGUGUUAGCCGUUGUUCGUGACUAUAUUUCUAGACCUAUUGAUCACAUCUUUGCUUAAAGAGCACAGAUAAACAAAAUUCCUGGCGGGGAGUGCCUGGCCUCUAGUACUUAGGAAGCCAGAUUUUCAUAGAAUGCACACUCAUAAAGACUGUAAACAUUACUGUGCUAAUCUGGCGGAUAGUUCCUCAAUUCUUCCAGCCCCACUGCUCCUAGUUACCUUAAAUAUCAAGGAUGAACACCUUCUGCUGAGCAGGAGCCCCCCAUUCAAACGCAUCUACUUAAGAGCAGAAUCAAGACAAUCAAGUUUCCAGGAGAAUCAACCUGACAAAGCCCAGUACCAAGGCUAUAUGUUCCUUGUACCAAGAACCACCCAACCAGGAAUUUACAGCUCUUCUCUGAAAGCAGCAGAGGACCACAGCCAAUCCCCGACACCAAGUCUGUUCACACCAUCUCUGGACUUCCUGGUUCCCCCGACCCAGCUACCCUGUUCCAAAGAAGGAAUAAGACCAGUGGACAACCAAUCAACUGAAAAAGCCAGCAUUAUUUACAAUAACCAAGAUGUGGAA